Daphnia magna is the source of this 651-nucleotide long non-coding RNA. RefSeq lists it as uncharacterized. The transcript has 2 exons. Lineage: Eukaryota; Metazoa; Arthropoda; Branchiopoda; Diplostraca; Daphniidae. The record is from RefSeq and is a predicted model, not a curated record.
GUCCUUAACAAGUAAGCCAAUUUCAUAAAUGAUUCACGAAAUAGUGCGCUUCUAAUACUAGGACUGCCAUCUAUGAACAAUUCAGCUAACAGUCUUCCACGACAAAAAUGUGCUUUAUGCUUUAUCAUCGUUCAUCCUUUAUAUUUUCACCCACACGCAAAAUGAUAGUAAAUAAAAGAUUUCAAAAAUACCUCGGGAUCAUUUGACGGAAUCAAAGUAACAACUCUUCCCGGCUAUCGUUACCGACCUUUCCGGGGACUCCACGGUGAUCAAUACUGGCUUGCCAGAAGCGCCGGACGUACCCUUUAAUGUAACCAAUGACUCGCCUCUCGUAAGGAAAAUCGACUUUCCAUAUUAACGACCCAUAACCAAACACCCACAUGACUGAAACGAGUGACAGUGACACUGUACAGUACACAAGACGCGUCGUCUGAAGUUCUUUCCGUCUGCUUUAAAGUUUUGACCGAUGAGACCGUGUUGUCAUGUCAAGAAAACAGUACAAAGAAUAUUUUGUAGCAGUUCAUGAAUAUCAUGAAGUAUUAUUUUCUGAUUCUUUUCCCAGUUUUAAAAUAAAUUCCAACACAUACAUUUGAACUUGUAUCUCUUGAGGGUUGCUGGUUAAAUAAAAACCUGGGACUCCUGUUUAAGAUA